This 483-nucleotide ribosomal RNA is filed under the name uncultured bacterium. Its description in RNAcentral is "partial 16S ribosomal RNA". It matches the Rfam family "Bacterial small subunit ribosomal RNA", at positions 30 to 507 of the family's 1533-position model. The record is from RNAcentral.
UUGAACGCUGGCGGCAGGCCUAACACAUGCCAGUCGAGCGGAUGAAGGGAGCUUGCUCCUGGAUUCAGCGGCGGACGGGUGAGUAAUGCCUAGGAAUCUGCCUGGUAGUGGGGGAUAACGUCCGGAAACGGGCGCUAAUACCGCAUACGUCCUGAGGGAGAAAGUGGGGGAUCUUCGGACCUCACGCUAUCAGAUGAGCCUAGGUCGGAUUAGCUAGUUGGUGGGGUAUAGGCCUACCAAGGCGACGAUCCGUAACUGGUCUGAGAGGAUGAUCAGUCACACUGGAACUGAGACACGGUCCAGACUCCUACGGGAGGCAGCAGUGGGGAAUAUUGGACAAUGGGCGAAAGCCUGAUCCAGCCAUGCCGCGUGUGUGAAGAAGGUCUUCGGAUUGUAAAGCACUUUAAGUUGGGAGGAAGGGCAGUAAGUUAAUACCUUGCUGUUUUGACGUUACCAACAGAAUAAGCACCGGCUAACUUCGUG